UACAGAGGUCUCAAGCGUUGUUCGGAUUCAUUGGGCGUAAAGGGUGCGUAGGCGGCGCGGUAAGUCGGGUGUGAAAUCUCGGAGCUUAACUCCGAAACUGCAUUCGAUACUGCCGUGCUUGAGGACUGGAGAGGAGACUGGAAUUUACGGUGUAGCGGUGAAAUGCGUAGAUAUCGUAAGGAAGACCAGUGGCGAAGGCGGAUCUCUGGACAGUUCCUGACGCUCAGGCACGAAAGCGUGGGGAUCAAACAGG
Molecule: ribosomal RNA, 253 nt
Filed under: uncultured bacterium
Lineage: Bacteria
Description: partial 16S ribosomal RNA
Rfam family: Bacterial small subunit ribosomal RNA
Source: RNAcentral